AGAGGACACUGCUAAUCGUUACUCCAGAAUAUUCUUUCCUGUACAAGUGAUUCGCAUGCUGUAACCCUCAGUGCAUAUGUGUAACACAUGUCAGAAUUUUUUAAAAGUUCAUGGAGUUCUGGAAGAAAUGAAACC
Molecule: long non-coding RNA, 135 nt
Organism: Myotis davidii
Lineage: Eukaryota; Metazoa; Chordata; Mammalia; Chiroptera; Vespertilionidae
Exons: 3
Source: RefSeq, a predicted model, not a curated record